UACGUAGGGUGCGAGCGUUAAUCGGAAUUACUGGGCGUAAAGCGUGCGCAGGCGGUUUUGUAAGCCAGAUGUGAAAUCCCCGGGCUUAACCUGGGAAUGGCAUUUGGAACUGCAAGGCUAGAGUAUGGCAGAGGAGACUAGAAUUUCUGGUGUAGCAGUGAAAUGCGUAGAUAUCAGAAGGAAUACCGAUGGCGAAGGCAGGUCUCUGGGUCAAUACUGACGCUGAGGCUCGAAAGCUAGGGGAGCAAAAGGG
This 253-nucleotide ribosomal RNA is filed under the name uncultured bacterium. RNAcentral's name for it is "partial 16S ribosomal RNA". It matches the Rfam family "Bacterial small subunit ribosomal RNA", at positions 524 to 776 of the family's 1533-position model. The record is from RNAcentral.